GAACGAUGUCCUCCACCAGCCACGAGAUCAUUCCUGUCUCUGAAGGCGAGCGAGAGGAACGCAAGCAUUCACAGUGUCUCACAAGAAGGAGCCGAAAUGAGUACUGACGGACGCGCAGCCGGAACGGGAGAUGUCCAGCAACCGGGUGGUCAACUGCAGCUGGAACAGGACACACGCGUAGAAGAAG
This is a long non-coding RNA of Ornithodoros turicata, 187 nucleotides long. RefSeq lists it as uncharacterized. The transcript is spliced from 3 exons. NCBI's taxonomy places the organism in Eukaryota, Metazoa, Arthropoda, Arachnida, Ixodida, Argasidae. The record is from RefSeq and is a predicted model, not a curated record.